Molecule: ribosomal RNA, 415 nt
Filed under: Heteroglymma biramosa
Lineage: Eukaryota; Metazoa; Arthropoda; Insecta; Coleoptera; Curculionidae
Description: partial 16S ribosomal RNA
Source: RNAcentral
CGAUAAGAACUCUCAAAAAAAAUUACGCUGUUAUCCCUAAGGUAAUUUAAUCUUUUAAUCUAAAUAAUAGGAUCAAUAACUUACAUAUAAAUAUUCAAAUAAAAAAAAAGUUAAUUAAAUUUUUUAAUCACCCCAACUAAAUUAACAUUUUUCAAUAAAAACUUAGAUUCAAAUUCUUUAUAAAUAAAUAUUAAUAAAACUCUAUAGGGUCUUCUCGUCUUUAACUUUUAUUUAAGCUUUUUAACUUAAAAAUAAAAUUCUAAUAAAUUUAAAUAGAGACAGUUAUUUUUUCAUCUAACCUUUCAUUCCAGCUUUCAAUUAAAAAACUAAUGAUUAUGCUACCUUUGCACGGUCAAAUUACCGCGGCCAUUUAAAUACUCAUUGGGCAGGCCAGACCUUAAAUUAUAAUCAAAAA